UAGUCCACGCUGUAAACGAUGAUCACUCGAUAUUGGCUUCGGUCAGUGUCCUAGCGAAAGUGAUAAGUAUCCCACCUGGGGAGUACGUUCGCAAGAAUGAAACUCAAAGGAAUUGACGGGGGCCCGCACAAGCGGUGGAGCAUGUGGUUUAAUUCGAUGAUACGCGAGGAACCUUACCAGGGCUUAAAUGCAUAAUGACAGGGCCAGAGAUGGCUUUUCCUUCGGGCAUUUUGCAAGGUGCUGCAUGGUUGUCGUCAGCUCGUGCCGUGAGGUGUCAGGUUAAGUCCGGUAACGAGCGCAACCCUUAUUGAUAGUUGCCAUCAUUCAGUUGGGCACUCUAUUGAGACUGCCGGUGAUAAGCCGGAGGAAGGCGGGGACGACGUCAAGUCAUCAUGGCCCUUACGUGUAGGGGCUACAAACGUGCUACAAUGGGCAGUGACAAU
Molecule: ribosomal RNA, 443 nt
Filed under: uncultured bacterium
Lineage: Bacteria
Description: bacterial SSU rRNA
Rfam family: Bacterial small subunit ribosomal RNA
Source: RNAcentral